GCUGGGAUAGCUCAAUUGGUAGAGCAACGGUAUCGUAAACCGUCGGUUCCGAGUUCGAUUCUCGGUCCCAGCU
RNAcentral lists this transfer RNA (73 nucleotides) under Pseudomonadota bacterium. RNAcentral describes it as "tRNA-Thr". It matches the Rfam family "tRNA". Rfam says of the family: Transfer RNA (tRNA) molecules are approximately 80 nucleotides in length. Their secondary structure includes four short double-helical elements and three loops (D, anti-codon, and T loops). The record is from RNAcentral. Lineage: Bacteria; Pseudomonadati; Pseudomonadota. RNAcentral also lists the same sequence under 1 other name.